AGUUCGAUUCUGGCUCAGAUUGAACGCUGGCGGGAUGCUGCAUACAUGCAAGUCGAACGGCAGCACGGACUUCGGUCUGGUGGCGAGUGGCGAACGGGUGAGUAAUGUAUCUUUGUCGCCUGUAGUAGCGGGGGAUACGAAGGCAGCUAAUAUACCGCACAUUGCCCUGGUGGAAAGGCGGGGACCUUCUGGCUUCGCAAAUUAUUAGAGCGGCCGAUAUCGGAUUAGCUAGUUGAGGUAACGGCUCACCGGCGAUUGAUCCAGCGGCUGGUUUGAGAGGAAUGACCAGCCACACUGGGAUCGGAGACACGGUCGACUCCGCCGGGAGGCAGCAGUGGGGAAUUUUGGACAAUGGGGAAACCCUGAUCCAGCCAUCCUGCAGCGUGCGCGAUGAAGCAUUUCAGUUGUAAAGCACUUUGGCAGGAAGAAAAUGGCAAUGGGAUAAUAAUUCCCGUAACUGACGGCCUGCACACCGCCAACUACGUGCCAGCAGCCGCGGUAAUACGUAGGGUGCAAGCGUUAAUCGGAAUUACUGGGCGUAAAGUGCGCGCAGGCAGUUCGGGAAAGAAAGACGUGUGAACCUUAAGAGCUAACUUGGAACUGCAUUUUUAAUCAUCGAGCCAGAGUGUGUCAGGAGGGAGGUGGAAUUCCAGUGCAGUGAAAUGCGUAAGAUAUGCGGAGAACACCGAUGGCGAAGGCAGCCUCCUGGGAUAACACUGACGCUCAUGCACGAAAGCGUGGGGAGCAAACAGAUUAGAUACCCUUGGUGGCCCACGCCUCUUGCACCAGAGGUCGAAUUGCAAGAAGCCGUUGGGGCCUUCGCCUGGUAGCGUGUUAACGCGUGGAAGCUGACCGCCUGGGAGUACGGUCGCAAGAUUAAAACUCAAAGGAAUUGACGGGGACUGCACAAGCGGUGGAUGAUGUGGAUUAAUUGAUGCAAAUGCGAAAAACUCAUCACCCUGACAUGGCUCCAGAAUCCCGAAGAGAUUUGGGAGUGCUCGAAGAGGAACCGGAACACAGGUGCUGUAUGGCUGUCGUCAGUCGCAGUCGCGAGAUGUUGGGUUAAGUCCCGCGCAACGAGCGCAACUUCGAAGUCACUUAGUUGCUGGCGGUGGUGCGCAAAGACCUACGAGACUGCUGGUGACAAACCGGAGGAAGGUGGAUGACGUCGUCUCAUGGGCCUUUAUGGGGUAGGGCUUCACACGUCAUACAACGGUCAAAAUAGAGGGUCGCCAACCCGCGAGGUGGUUUUUCAAUCCCAGAAACCCGAUCGAAUCCACGGAUUUGCUCCGCAACCUGACUGCGGAAGUCACGGAAUCGCUAAAAUCGCGGAUCAGCAUGUCGCGGUGAAUACGUUCCCGGGUCUUGUACACACCGCCCGCGUCACACCAUGGGAGCGGGUUUUAACAGAAGUAGCGGGGUCAACCCGUAAGGAGGGCGAUUACCACGGUGAUUCAUGCAGAAUCAGGUGAAGUCGUAACAAGGGUAGCUUUCCAGCCAUACCUGAUGGCUCUGGUGA
This 1519-nucleotide ribosomal RNA is filed under the name uncultured Bordetella sp. Its description in RNAcentral is "partial 16S-23S ribosomal RNA intergenic spacer". It matches the Rfam family "Bacterial small subunit ribosomal RNA". Lineage: Bacteria; Pseudomonadati; Pseudomonadota; Betaproteobacteria; Burkholderiales; Alcaligenaceae. The record is from RNAcentral.